RNAcentral lists this ribosomal RNA (523 nucleotides) under Rheocles vatosoa. RNAcentral's name for it is "partial large subunit ribosomal RNA". It matches the Rfam family "Bacterial large subunit ribosomal RNA", at positions 1923 to 2597 of the family's 2925-position model. Lineage: Eukaryota; Metazoa; Chordata; Actinopteri; Atheriniformes; Bedotiidae. The record is from RNAcentral.
UUUAACGGCCGCGGUAUUUUGACCGUGCAAAGGUAGCGCAAUCACUUGUCUUUUAAAUGAAGACCCGUAUGAAUGGCAUAACGAGGGCUUAACUGUCUCCUUUUUCUAGUCAAUGAAAUUGAUCUCCCCGUGCAGAAGCGGGGAUGCACCCAUAAGACGAGAAGACCCUGUGGAGCUUUAGACAACAGGACAGACCAUGUUAAUAUAAUCUAGCUAAAGUAACAGAACCAAUUGGACCCUGCCCCCAUGUCUUUGGUUGGGGCGACCGCGGGGAAAAGAAAAACCCCCAUGUGGAGUGAGAGCACCUCUCUCACAACUAAGAGCAACAACUCUAAGUAACAGAACUUCUGACCAUCAAGAUCCGGCCAAGCCGAUCAACGAAACGAGUUACCCCAGGGAUAACAGCGCAAUCCUCUUUUAGAGCCCAUAUCGACAAGAGGGUUUACGACCUCGAUGUUGGAUCAGGACAUCCUAAUGGUGUAGCCGCUAUUAAGGGUUCGUUUGUUCAACGAUUAAUAGUCCU